This 69-nucleotide transfer RNA is filed under the name Rattus norvegicus (Norway rat). It matches the Rfam family "tRNA". From Rfam's summary of the family: Transfer RNA (tRNA) molecules are approximately 80 nucleotides in length. Lineage: Eukaryota; Metazoa; Chordata; Mammalia; Rodentia; Muridae. RNAcentral also lists the same sequence under 2 other names. The record is from Rfam by way of RNAcentral.
GGAGAUUUAGCUCAGUGGUAGAGCACUUGCCUAGCAAGCACAAGGCCCUGGGUUCGGUCCUCAGCUCUG